ACGGCGAGCGCUGGCGGUGUGCCUAAUACAUGCAAGUCGAGCGGACAGAUGGGAGCUUGCUCCCUGAUGUUAGCGGCGGACGGGUGAGUAACACGUGGGUAACCUGCCUGUAAGACUGGGAUAACUCCGGGAAACCGGGGCUAAUACCGGAUGCUUGUUUGAACCGCAUGGUUCAAACAUAAAAGGUGGCUUCGGCUACCACUUACAGAUGGACCCGCGGCGCAUUAGCUAGUUGGUGAGGUAAUGGCUCACCAAGGCAACGAUGCGUAGCCGACCUGAGAGGGUGAUCGGCCACACUGGGACUGAGACACGGCCCAGACUCCUACGGGAGGCAGCAGUAGGGAAUCUUCCGCAAUGGACGAAAGUCUGACGGAGCACCGCCGCGUGAGUGAUGAAGGUAUUCGGAUCGUAAAGCUCUGUUGUUAGGGAAGAACAAGUACCGUUCGAAUAGGGCGGUACCUUGACGGUACCAUAAC
RNAcentral lists this ribosomal RNA (476 nucleotides) under Bacillus subtilis. Its description in RNAcentral is "bacterial SSU rRNA". It matches the Rfam family "Bacterial small subunit ribosomal RNA", at positions 28 to 483 of the family's 1533-position model. Lineage: Bacteria; Bacillati; Bacillota; Bacilli; Caryophanales; Bacillaceae. The record is from RNAcentral.